AUAAAUGAUGAUCAUUAGAAACCGAAAAAUAUGCUGGAAAUUACCGGCUGAGGCCUUCGGGCGUUUGAAGAUCUUCCAUGGCACUGAUC
RNAcentral lists this small nucleolar RNA (89 nucleotides) under Rasamsonia emersonii CBS 393.64. RNAcentral describes it as "A. fumigatus snoRNA Afu_300". It matches the Rfam family "A. fumigatus snoRNA Afu_300". Lineage: Eukaryota; Fungi; Ascomycota; Eurotiomycetes; Eurotiales; Trichocomaceae. The record is from Rfam by way of RNAcentral.